AAACAGCAUCCAAGGAAGUCUCAAGGUGAGGCUGCAAUGCAGCCUUCUCAACAGUAUUCUAUAGAGAAGUGGGAUGCUAACUGAUUUCCAGAGGUGGCCUUGUUCCAGGGCUCUCUGAAAAUGCUACCUGGUGAUGAACUUGACUUUGUUCUUCUGAACUGAGGGCACUGGCCCAGUGGGCCAUCUCACCAUGGCUCUACUCACCUGGUGGCCAGCAGAGUCCACCGAGAGCUGACUUCUGGGAGUCGUUGCUGGAAGAGAGUCUGGCAGGAAAGAAUUGUCAAGUAUCUCAGCUGACUCCCCAGAGGAGAUGAAUAUCCACCCAAGGGACAGCCAAGCAUAACAUCAGUCCUCUCUGGGCCAGCAAGAUGACUCAGCAAUAAAAGCACUUGCUGCCAAGUGUGACCCAACUGAGUUCAAUUCCCAGAACCUACGGAGUUGAACCAGAUAACCAACUCGUGCAAACUGCUCUGACCCCUACAUGGACAGCAUGGCAUAGCUGGUGGUGCUGUUUGGGAAGGCUAUGAAGCCUUCAGAAGGUGGAGGCUUGUUGGAGGAAGAGGAUCACUGGUGAUGUGCCUUGAUGUUUUAAAGUCUGGCCAAUUUCCUGUUUGCUCUUUAACUGCCUAGGCAAUGUGUCCAAAAGACUCAAGCUCCUGGAGCCAUGUUUUUCUACCAUGAUGAACUUCAUCCCUUCAAACUGUGAGCCAAGAUAAAUUCUUCCUUCUUUGGGUUGUUUCUUCUUGGGUAUUUGGUCACAGCAAUGAGAAGGGAUCGCCACUGCUGGUUGAGCUCCACUGUUUCAAGGGUUCUCCACCUGCACGAGAAAGCUGCACAUCUGCACCUCCUUGGUCGUGGAGUCCAAGGUGGUUCCCAGCUGCCCAUGAAGUCCUCUUCAGAGGACUGACAAGCUGGAGAUGGAAACUACAUUUGGAGUCCUGCUCUGGGAGGGAAAACGGAAAAACAAGACACUGCCCCCAGAUGCAUCCAGGCGGGAGCUCAUUUCCAUCCCAAAUUGGCUCCAGAGGGCGAAAGCUUCUGGGAGAUACCAGGUUCCUUCUGCAGGAUGAGAAAAUCAGUUCAACAAUCCUCUACCCACACCUCAUCCCUGAACUUUGGAUUUCAUCUUCAGCAUCAUCAAGAGGCAACCAACAAAUCUUUGUUUGUAUACCACAAGUGAUGGCAAGCUCAUUACACUGCAAAUUUCUCAUUCAGCUUCUGAGCACCAGGAUACCAUCAUUUUGCUCCAUCGUUGGAGCUGAUGUUGGUUCCCCUACGGGCUACCCUCAUGAGGAUGGAGCUUGGCUCACCAAUUCAGUCGGGCAGAGGUUUACAAACCAAGUUCAUUUAAGAGAUUCUUUUUGUUUCCAGUAACUGUUUUGCUAACUCUUCAGCUUCUGAGGCUAGUGAUUGGAAAGGUUCAUGCGGGUCUGUUUUUAAAGGUAUAACUUGGCUCAUAUAAAGCUAAAGUCUGGCCUGAUUCAGUACUGCCCUAAGAAAAGCCAUUUGCUCAAAGGUGUUUACAGAGGAGGGAGACAGUGGGUUUCAGCUGCUUGGUUCUAUUCUGGGGCAUUGGGAUCCAGCAAUCAUCAAGAAUGAUCUGGUCUGACUGUGACUCACUGGGCCUGAAUGAAUUACCCCAUUCCCCUUUGAUAUCAGUUCCUUCCAGGACUUUCGUAAAGAAUUCAAGAGCAAGUGGAGCCUCCAUCUUAGCCCUUUACCCCAUUUUACAGAUAAGGAAGACAGAGAGUGAGUCCCAGAAAGAGGAAUUGAAUUACCUUGGGGAAACUACUAAAGCCUAAAUCUUGUGGCUUUCACUUUCAGUGUGCUAGUACUUCACAACCAUGAUUUCUCUUAUUCCCUGGAUUUUAGAGCCUCUUUUUCUUCCCCCUGCCUCAGUUUUCCCACACUGAUCCAGACUUCAGAGGUCACCAACCUCCAGCCUUGAGCUCCCCUCAAACCUGGAGCUCAGCACAUACUUAUGUCAUGAACUUUUCCCCACAGAGACAAGAUUAAAGGGAGAUGUUAAUAUUCAAGCAACCUUGCUAAACAAGC
Molecule: long non-coding RNA, 2055 nt
Filed under: Mus caroli (Ryukyu mouse)
Lineage: Eukaryota; Metazoa; Chordata; Mammalia; Rodentia; Muridae
Description: RIKEN cDNA 9230020A06 gene (MGP_CAROLIEiJ_G0004763.1)
Source: RNAcentral